CUUGAGUCUGGGAUUUCCGAAUGGGGAAACCCACUUGCAUAAGCAAGUAUCAUUAACUGAAUACAUAGGUUAAUGAGGCAAACCGGGGGAACUGAAACAUCUAAGUACCCCGAGGAAGAGAAAUCAACCGAGAUUCCGGUAGUAGCGGCGAGCGAAACCGGAUUAGCCCUUAAGCUAGUUCUGCGUUAGGUGAAUGUACUGGAAAGUACAGCGAUACAGGGUGAUAGCCCCGUAACCAAAAAUGCAGUCUUAGUGAAAUCGAGUAGGACGGGACACGUGAUAUCCUGUUUGAACAUGGGGGGACCAUCCUCCAAGGCUAAAUACUCCUGACUGACCGAUAGUGAACCAGUACCGUGAGGGAAAGGCGAAAAGAACCCCUGUGAGGGGAGUGAAAUAGAACCUGAAACCGUGUACGUACAAGCAGUAGGAGCCCACUUGUUGGGUGACUGCGUACCUUUUGUAUAAUGGGUCAGCGACUUAAUUUUAGUAGCAAGGUUAACCGUUUAGGGGAGCCGUAGGGAAACCGAGUCUUAACUGGGCGAAUUAGUUGCUAGGAUUAGACCCGAAACCGAGUGAUCUAGCCAUGGGCAGGUUGAAGGUGAGGUAACACUUACUGGAGGACCGAACCGACUAAUGUUGAAAAAUUAGCGGAUGACUUGUGGCUAGGGGUGAAAGGCCAAUCAAACUCGGAGAUAGCUGGUUCUCCCCGAAAGCUAUUUAGGUAGCGCCUCGGACGAAUACUACUGGGGGUAGAGCACUGUUAAGGCUAGGGGGUCAUCCCGACUUACCAACCCUUUGCAAACUCCGAAUACCAGUAAGUAAUAUCCGGGAGACACACGGCGGGUGCUAACGUCCGUCGUGAAGAGGGAAACAACCCAGACCGCCAGCUAAGGUCCCAAAGUUAUAGCUAAGUGGGAAACGAUGUGGGAAGGCUCAGACAGCCAGGAUGUUGGCUUAGAAGCAGCCAUCAUUUAAAGAAAGCGUAAUAGCUCACUGGUCGAGUCGGCCUGCGCGGAAGAUUUAACGGGGCUAAGCUAUACACCGAAGCUGCGGCAAUGUGAAUUUAUUCACAUUGGGUAGGGGAGCGUUCUGUAAGCCGUUGAAGGUGCAUUGUAAAGUGUGCUGGAGGUAUCAGAAGUGCGAAUGCUGACAUGAGUAACGAUAAAGGGAGUGAAAAACUCCCUCGCCGGAAGAUCAAGGGUUCCUGUCCAACGUUAAUCGGGGCAGGGUAAGUCGACCCCUAAGGCGAGGCCGAAAGGCGUAGUCGAUGGGAAACGGGUUAAUAUUCCCGUACUUCUUAUAAUUGCGAUGGAGGGACGGAGAAGGCUAGGUGAGCCUGGCGACGGUUGUCCAGGUCCAAGUAUGUAGGCUGAUG
Molecule: ribosomal RNA, 1375 nt
Filed under: Photobacterium carnosum
Lineage: Bacteria; Pseudomonadati; Pseudomonadota; Gammaproteobacteria; Vibrionales; Vibrionaceae
Description: partial 23S ribosomal RNA
Rfam family: Bacterial large subunit ribosomal RNA
Source: RNAcentral